AGAGUUUGAUCCUGGCUCAGGAUGAACGCUGGCGGCGUGCCUAACACAUGCAAGUCGAACGGAUGCUUUCGGGCAUUAGUGGCGCACGGGUGAGUAACACGUGGUUGAUCUACCCCAAAGUAGGGGAUAACGUUCCGAAAGGAAUGCUAAUACCCUAUAAGCUCCCGGCUUUUAGAAUGUUGGGAGAAAAGUUCCGGCGCUUUGGGAGGAGACUGCGAACCAUCAGCUAGUUGGUGCGGUAAUGGCGCACCAAGGCGACGACGGUUAGGGGACCUGAGAGGGUGGCCCCCCACACUGGAACUGAGACACGGUCCAGACUCCUACGGGAGGCAGCAGUGAGGAAUAUUGCACAAUGGGCGCAAGCCUGAUGCAGCGACGCCGCGUGGGUGAUGAAGGCUUUCGGGUCGUAAAGCCCUUUUCUAGGUGACGAGGAAGGACGGUAGCCUAGGAAUAAGUGUCGGCUAACUACGUGCCAGCAGCCGCGGUAAAACGUAGGACACAAGCGUUAUCCGGAGUUACUGGGCGUAAAGGGCGUGUAGGCGGACGUGUAAGUCUAUUCUGAAAGCUCCUGGCUAAACUGGGAGAGGCGAAUGGAGACUGCAUAUCUAGAGUGAGGAAGAGGAAAGUGGAAUUCCGCGUGUAGUGGUGAAAUGCGUAGAGAUGCGGAGGAACACCAGUGGCGAAAGCGACUUUCUGGUCCUUAACUGACGCUGAGGCGCGAAAGCAUGGGGAGCGAACGGGAUUAGAAACCCCGGUAGUCCAUGCCAUAAACGAUGUUCACUAAACGUUCGUUUCCCGCGAGGGAAGUGGGUGUUGAAGCUAACGCAGUAAGUGGACCGCCUGGGGAGUACGGUCGCAAGGCUAAACUCAAAGGAAUUGACGGGGGACCGCACAAGCAGCGGAGCGUGUGGUUUAAUUCGAGGCUACACGAAGAACCUUACCUAGGUUUGACAUCUUACUGAAGGCCUCAUGAAAGUGGGGAGGUCCCGCAAGGGACAGUAGGACAGGUGCUGCAUGGCUGUCGUCAGCUCGUGCCGUGAGGUGUUCGGUUAAGUCCGCAAACGAGCGCAACCCUCGGUGCCAGUUACAAGUGUCUGGCGCGACUGCCCGUGGCAAACGGGAGGAAGGUGGGGAUGACGUCAAGUCAGCAUGGCCUUUAUAUCUAGGGCUACACAUACGCUACAAUGGCGCGUACAAUGGGCUGCGAACCCGCGAGGGGGAGCCAAUCCUAAAAAGCGCGUCUCAGUUCAGAUCGUAGGCUGCAACCCGCCUGCGUGAAGUUGGAGUUGCUAGUAACCGCGCGUCAGCAGAGUGCGGUGAAUACGUUCCCGGUCCUUGUACACACCGCCCGUCACGUCAUGAGAGCUGGUGACGCCUGAAGUCGGGAAGCUAACCGCAAGGAGGCUACUGCCGAAGGCAGCAUUGGUGAUUGGGACGAAGUCGUAACAAGGUA
This 1453-nucleotide ribosomal RNA is filed under the name metagenome. RNAcentral describes it as "bacterial SSU rRNA". It matches the Rfam family "Bacterial small subunit ribosomal RNA". The record is from RNAcentral.